Molecule: transfer RNA, 74 nt
Filed under: Phycisphaeraceae bacterium
Lineage: Bacteria; Pseudomonadati; Planctomycetota; Phycisphaerae; Phycisphaerales; Phycisphaeraceae
Also listed under: 2 other names
Description: tRNA-Ile
Rfam family: tRNA
About the family: Transfer RNA (tRNA) molecules are approximately 80 nucleotides in length. Their secondary structure includes four short double-helical elements and three loops (D, anti-codon, and T loops).
Source: RNAcentral
GGGCCUGUAGCUCAGUUGGUUAGAGCGCACCCCUGAUAAGGGUGAGGUCGAAGGUUCGAGUCCUUCUAGGCCCA